GACGAACGCUGGCGGCGUGCUUAACACAUGCAAGUCGACCGGAAAGGCCCUGCUUUUGUGGGGUGCUCGAGUGGCGCACGGGUGUGUCACACGUGAGUCACCUGCCCCUGCCUUUGGGAUAACUUCAGGACACUGGGGCAUAUACCGGAUUGUAGUACCUGCUGCUCGGUGGGGGAUGAAAAGUAUCGGCGGUUGGGGAUGGACUCGCGGCUUAUCAGCUUGUUGGUGGGGUAGUGGCUUACCAAGGCUUUGACGGGUAGCCGGCCUGAGAGGGUGACCGGCCACAUUGGGACUGGGAUACGGGCCAGAAUCCUACGGGAGGGAGCAGUGGGGGAUAAUGCAAAAUGGGCGGAAGCCUGAGGCAGCAACGCCGCGUGCGGGAGAAGGGCCUUCGGGGUGUAAACCGUUUUUGCAGGUGACGAGGAGUGAGUGACGGUAAUGGGUAAAGAAGCAACGGCUAACUACGUG
RNAcentral lists this ribosomal RNA (468 nucleotides) under uncultured bacterium. RNAcentral describes it as "partial 16S ribosomal RNA". It matches the Rfam family "Bacterial small subunit ribosomal RNA", at positions 28 to 507 of the family's 1533-position model. The record is from RNAcentral.